CCUGUGUUCCCAGGGGCUCCCCGCGCGGGACUCUUGCUUCCUGCUUGCGUCCGGCCGGCCCCGCGUGCGGUGGCUAGCGGUGUCCGUCCUGUAUCCCCCAUGGCGGUCGUCGGGCCGCGUCGCCUGCCUCUGCGUCUGCGGCGGCGAGCCCGGUGAGUGGUCGGAGAAAUUGACUUGGAUCUCCCUGCGGUUCCCGUACGGCGUGUGACCUUGGGUUAUCUACGCUUCUACUGAGCCUCAGUUUCUCCAUCAGAACAAUGGCUCUGUACAAGACAGCGAGGCCUCCUUAGCCUGUUCCCAAAGACUCGGUGCAAGGUUACUGGUGUCGAGUAUGGUCUCUGGUCAGUUAUGUUUGGGGAGAAAGAAUCACUGGAGUUCGUUUUUGUGAGUGCAGAGUACUAACCUAGGGAUUGAAUAGAAGACACCCUUGCCGACCUGACCUACUACUUACUAUUCAUCCUCCCACCUCGUCGCACUGAUCCUGACCAGGACUUGAAAUUUGUGGCACUACCUCGUCGUUUCCACUAGGUGGCACUAUCACAAAGGACAACGGAGGGUCCUGAAAGCCAGCGCUGCAAACUGCAGGUGCCAGCCUGUUGUAAGGCCUGAUAGCUUUGGAGCCAAUUCACCUUGUGAGCCAUUGGCCUGACCGCCGUCACCACCUUUAUGUUUGUUGGAAGCUGACUGUACCUUGGUGCUGGGCUACUGAUACACUCCAUGAUGCUAGCAGAAAGCUUUAAUUGGCCAAGUUCAACUCUGGAUGUUUAAAGAAAUUAGUGUUCUUUGAGCCUUGGUGGGUGGUGGUGGAGGGGAUGCUGGUUUUCUUGUGAUGGGAGCAGCCUGAACAUUUACCUGCAUACCAUCUUUGUGCCUAUGUCCACAAGCUGGAAGCAUAAAAUACCGGGGUAAGCCAGUCCUAGCAGUACAGGAUUGUAGUCCCAACUACCAAGAGAGUCAGAAGUCAAGACCUACCUGGAUAACUUAGUAAACUCCUGCCUUGGUCAAUAACUAAUAAGAGCUGGUGAUGUGGUAGAACGCUUGCCUAGAAAGUAGAAGCCCUGAAUUUGACACCCCCCUCAUCACACACAAAAAGAGUUAAGUAUAAAAAGUCUAAUUUAUCAAGCAUUCCCUGAGCCAGGAAUAUUGAGCAAAUAUUCCUAACCCUCUUAACGCCAUUGCAAGGUGAGCAUUUUAACCCCUAUUUUAUAGAUAAAGGUCAGAAUCUAUAGCUACUGAGCAGAACUUCUGGGUCUGUCUCCAUGUCCUCUACCCUGUUUUGUCUGCUUGCCUGCUUCCUUUAUUUCUUUUGUUAUUGUCAGGGUCUUGCUGUAUAGCCCAGGCUGGCCUGGAUUUCAUUCUCUUGUCUCAACUUCCCAGUGCUUAUAUAGGCAAGCAUGCACUACCUUGCUCAACUCCUCUAUUCUGCCAGCCCCACAUGCUUCCUUUUAGAACUUUUCAGACCACAUGACCUUUAGCCCUUACCCAAGGCACUGGAACUUGAGGUCUUCCUCUCAGCCUUCAAGUACUGAAAUUAUAUGUUCUUGCACCAGG
RNAcentral lists this long non-coding RNA (1551 nucleotides) under Rattus norvegicus (Norway rat). Its description in RNAcentral is "long non-coding RNA NONRATT016605". The record is from RNAcentral. Lineage: Eukaryota; Metazoa; Chordata; Mammalia; Rodentia; Muridae.